Molecule: long non-coding RNA, 2014 nt
Organism: Mobula hypostoma (lesser devil ray)
Lineage: Eukaryota; Metazoa; Chordata; Chondrichthyes; Myliobatiformes; Myliobatidae
Exons: 6
Source: RefSeq, a predicted model, not a curated record
UGGGUUUAAGAAUUUGUGACAGUCGAAGAGUAGUAAACUGUCAGAGAGAAAAAAAUAAAGAUGAGGGUUUAACACCUUUCAUAAAUCAAAAGGAAGUGGCAGCAUCUCCUUUCCAGGCAGUGAUUAGCUGGCACCGGGAUCUUACUCCAGCUUCAAAUUACAGAGAAGCAAAACCAUCAAUCACAGCCCAAACAUCAUCAUCAACAAGACAAAUAAAAGGAAGGAAGUCACAGGUAAUCAGUACAUGGAACACACUAAGCUGGCUUUUGGGCUGUGGAGUGGACACUGCCUUGCCUGCUCAGUGCUUCCAGCAUUUUGUGACCAGGUACGGAGAUCUCUGGUGGUGGUACGAUAAGAGUACGCGGCACUUGCCAUCUGAUAUAUAUUGGGAAAGUGAAGAAAGAGGGGAAGAAUAGCAAGAACAAAUGAAGAAGCGAAGUUGGUCAAUCAGUAACUGGCAGAGCUGUCAAUGAAGAACAAGAGUGUGUUUCCAAUAAUGGUGGAUGGUCAGUCUUUCUCCCAGGUUGGAAAUGUCAAAUACUAGAGGACACACCUUUAAGACUUUACAUCCAAAAGUUCAUCACCACCAAGCAGACCUUCUUCUUAUACCUAUCGGCAGUCUGCUAAAGCAACCGAUCCUCAGUCUGACGGACUGCUUGAGAGCAAGAGUCGCAAUUUGUGUUUCUUUCUACUCAAAUGCAAAUAUUUUUUACAAUCGCAAGACCCUGCUGGACAUUAACAACUUAAACUACUGCAAGGCAACCCCAUCAGAGAGUUGCUCAUUGGUGGAGUCACUGAAGGAGCUGGACUUGGUGCAGAUCGUGCUGCUGCUUGCUUCGGAGACUCAGUACAUGAAAGCGGUGUGCAGUCUAACACUUUAUUUUAGGGUGGAUAUUAAAAUGCUUGGUUAAAGGCUUUCAGGAGCUUCUUACAGAAGACCAAGAAAUAGGCCAAGAGAUUUUGGGAGGAGUUUCCAAGUCUUGAGCCUUGGCACCUAAAGGUGGAACUGCCAAAUAUGGAACAAUGACACAGGAAGAUGAGCAGAAAUCAGAAAUGAAGGAAUAUCAUACCUUGAAGAGUUAUUUGGGUGGAGAAGAUUAUAUAGAUAAAAGGGAAAGGCCAUGGAAAGGGGAAACAAGGGCAUUUAAUCAGAUUCUCCAAGAGGACCACUGCCUUGUCAUGGUUUGGAGUCUUGCAUACAUCAAUGACCUGGAGAGCUAUGCUGGUUGGAGUCAGGCUUUAUGCUUUGGCUGUUAGUGGAGUGACCCAUGCCAAACAACUCUAAGUGUAGAGGACAGGGUAAAGUUGGUCCUCUGGUUCUCCAGGGUUGGGGUCUCAGCUGAGGGCUACCAAUCCUGGCUGGUAAAACAAAAUUGUUAUGAAACCAGCAAUGAAGAAUCUUUCAGCAUCUGAAUGUGAUGAUAUUCCUGAGUCUCCACUCAGGACUUGCAUGACUAACACAUAGUGAAAAUCAGGAGGAAGCUACUGACAGGACGAAUGAAGCCCUAAACACCGCCAGAGAUACAGGACCUUCAUUACUGACCUAAAUGCCAAUGGCAUAACAGGCUGUAAGUAAGGAAGCACUCAAUCAGAUUAACAGUGCCCAGCUAUCAACAAGGAACCCGGCAACAGAAAGAUGCACCAAAGAACUGUAGGAAACAUGGGAUGCAAAGUGGGUGGGGCAUGGGUGCAGAAUCAAACUUAGCUGGGGGUUGUUGAAGUGAACUGAAUUAGUUUGCAGGUUGGAUUCAGCUAACUGGAGGCAUGAAGAAACUAUCCUGCUCCUCUGGCUCCACAUGGCAUGCUAUCUGCAAUCACCUGUUGCACCCAUCUUCUUUUUACUACCAAGCUUCCCUUGCUCCAGGAAACAUGAUCAGACGUUAAUGAUUUCAAUUUGCAGCCAAAGUAUGAAUGGAGCCUUAUUUUAGUAUUAUAAUCACAGACCUAUCUUUCAAUUGAAUUCAUUCACUUCUAAAAAGUUUAAUUCUAUCUGAAGCAGACCUGAAUAUUUAGA